RNAcentral lists this ribosomal RNA (252 nucleotides) under uncultured bacterium. RNAcentral's name for it is "partial 16S ribosomal RNA". It matches the Rfam family "Bacterial small subunit ribosomal RNA", at positions 524 to 776 of the family's 1533-position model. The record is from RNAcentral.
UACGGAGGAUGCGAGCGUUAUCCGGAUUUAUUGGGUUUAAAGGGUGCGUAGGCGGGCAGAUAAGUCAGCGGUAAAAAUGCGGGGCUCAACCCCGUCGAGCCGUUGAAACUGUUUGUCUUGAGUGAGCGAGAAGCAGGCGGAAUGCGUGGUGUAGCGGUGAAAUGCAUAGAUAUCACGCAGAACCCCGAUUGCGAAGGCAGCCUGCCGGUGCUCAACUGACGCUGAGGCACGAAAGUGCGGGGAUCGAACAGG